AACGCGAAGAACCUUACCAGGUCUUGACAUCCUCUGACAACCCUAGAGAUAGGGCUUCUCCUUCGGGAGCAGAGUGACAGGUGGUGCAUGGUUGUCGUCAGCUCGUGUCGUGAGAUGUUGGGUUAAGUCCCGCAACGAGCGCAACCCUUGAUCUUAGUUGCCAUCAUUAAGUUGGGCACUCUAAGGUGACUGCCGGUGACAAACCGGAGGAAGGUGGGGAUGACGUCAAAUCAUCAUGCCCCUUAUGACCUGGGCUACACACGUGCUACAAUGGACGGUACAAAGAGCUGCAAGACCGCGAGGUGGAGCUAAUCUCAUAAAACCGUUCUCAGUUCGGAUUGUAGGCUGCAACUCGCCUACA
This 361-nucleotide ribosomal RNA is filed under the name Bacillus paranthracis. RNAcentral describes it as "bacterial SSU rRNA". It matches the Rfam family "Bacterial small subunit ribosomal RNA", at positions 958 to 1320 of the family's 1533-position model. The record is from RNAcentral. Lineage: Bacteria; Bacillati; Bacillota; Bacilli; Caryophanales; Bacillaceae.